GUGAAUCAUCGAAUCUUUGAACGCAAAUUGCACUUUCUGGUAUUCCGGAAAGUAUGCCUGUUUGAGGGUCAGUUAAAUAAAAAUCGGAGUAGGUGAUGCUUUUCGAGGUGACGCGUCGGAAUGGAGUUGUCUUACUUACGGAUAAGUGACUUAAAAAAUAGCAUGAAUUGGGAACGUAUAUAAAUUACUUACGUACGAUUGUGAUAAAGUAUAUUUUAUUAGGUUAUGUUAUUAUCAUGUUAAGCACCUAUAGUAUUACAAUUAAUGA
This 268-nucleotide unclassified non-coding RNA is filed under the name Glomus sp. RNAcentral describes it as "partial contains 5.8S ribosomal RNA and internal transcribed spacer 2". The stretch from base 1 to 71 matches the Rfam family "5.8S ribosomal RNA", at positions 84 to 154 of the family's 154-position model. The record is from RNAcentral. Lineage: Eukaryota; Fungi; Glomeromycota; Glomeromycetes; Glomerales; Glomeraceae.